This 440-nucleotide ribosomal RNA is filed under the name uncultured bacterium. RNAcentral describes it as "partial 16S ribosomal RNA". It matches the Rfam family "Bacterial small subunit ribosomal RNA", at positions 338 to 795 of the family's 1533-position model. The record is from RNAcentral.
CCUACGGGAGACAGCAGUGGGGAAUAUUGCACAAUGGGGGAAACCCUGAUGCAGCGACGCCGCGUGAGUGAAGAAGUAAUUCGUUAUGUAAAGCUCUAUCAGCAGGGAAGAAAAUGACGGUACCUGAGUAAGAAGCCCCGGCUAACUACGUGCAAGCAGCCGCGGUAAUAAGUAGGGGGCAAGCGUUAUCCGGAUUUACUGGGUGUAAAGGGAGUGUAGACGGCAGUGCAAGUCUGGAGUGAAAGGCGGGGGCUCAACCCCCGGACUGCUCUGGAAACUGUACGGCUGGAGUGCAGGAGAGGUAAGUGGAAUUCCUAGUGUAGCGGUGAAAUGCGUAGAUAUUAGGAGGAACACCAGUGGCGAAGGCGGCUUACUGGACUGUAACUGACGUUGAGGCUCGAAAGCGUGGGGAGCAAACAGGAUUAGAUACCCGUGUAGUC